AUUGAACGCUGGCGGCAGGCCUAACACAUGCAAGUCGAACGAGUGGCGGACGGGCGAGCUAUGUAUGGGAAACUGCCUGAUGGAGGGGGAUCACUACUGGAAACGGUAGCCAAUACCGCCUACCAUCGGAUGUGCCCAGAUGGGAUUAGCUAGUGGGUGGGGUAUAGGCUCACCUAGGCGACGAUCCCUAGCUGGUCUGAGAGGAUGACCAGCCACACUGGAACUGAGACACGGUCCAGACUCCUACGGGAGGCAGCAGUGGGGAAGAUUGCACAAUGGGCGCAAGCCUGAUGCAGCCAUGCCGCGUGUAUGAAGAAGGCCUUCGGGUUGUAAAGUACUUUCAGCGGGGAGGCGUUACCCGCAGAAGAAGCACCGGCUAACUCCGUGCCAGCAGCCGCGGUAAUAC
RNAcentral lists this ribosomal RNA (406 nucleotides) under uncultured bacterium. Its description in RNAcentral is "partial 16S ribosomal RNA". It matches the Rfam family "Bacterial small subunit ribosomal RNA", at positions 30 to 526 of the family's 1533-position model. The record is from RNAcentral.